AUGCUUGGGAAAACACUGCCAUCUAACUUCGGUGAUACCCUCCUGAAUCUUGGAGUCCUCGGAUUGGAGGAUAACAGUUUCGCAGGUCAUCUCCCAGCGUCGCUAGGCAAUAUUUCAGGGCUAGAGUGGUUAUACUUGUCAUUCAACAAUUUCGUUGGUAAAGUUCCAAGUUCCUUUGGUAAUCUUGGACUGUUACAACACCUAAACCUUCAGCAUAACAAUUUAUCGGGCUUCAUCCCAAAAGAGCUGGGUGGCUUAAAAAAUCUUACCCGUGUGGAUCUGUCUGAUAAUAGUCUGCAAGGUGGAGUGCCAUGA
This 315-nucleotide ribosomal RNA is filed under the name Triticum aestivum (bread wheat). Its description in RNAcentral is "partial small subunit ribosomal RNA". The record is from RNAcentral. Lineage: Eukaryota; Viridiplantae; Streptophyta; Magnoliopsida; Poales; Poaceae.